RNAcentral lists this ribosomal RNA (429 nucleotides) under Pseudomonadota bacterium. RNAcentral's name for it is "Proteobacteria bacterium partial 16S ribosomal RNA". It matches the Rfam family "Bacterial small subunit ribosomal RNA", at positions 355 to 776 of the family's 1533-position model. The record is from RNAcentral. Lineage: Bacteria; Pseudomonadati; Pseudomonadota.
UGGGGAAUAUUGGACAAUGGGCGAAAGCCUGAUCCAGCCAUGCCGCGUGUGUGAAGAAGGUCUUCGGAUUGUAAAGCACUUUAAGUUGGGAGGAAGGGCAGUAAGCGAAUACCUUGCUGUUUUUACGUUACCGACAGAAUAAGCACCGGCUAACUCUGUGCCAGCAGCCGCGGUAAUACAGAGGGUGCAAGCGUUAAUCGGAAUUACUGGGCGUAAAGCGCGCGUAGGUGUUUCGUUAAGUUGCAUGUGAAAGCCCCGGGCUCAACCUGGGAACUGCAUCCAAAACUGGCGAGAUAGAGUAGGGCAGAGGGUGGUGGAAUUUCCUGUGUAGCGGUGAAAUGCGUAGAUAUAGGAAGGAACACCAGUGGCGAAGGCGACCACCUGGGCUCAUACUGACACUGAGGUGCGAAAGCGUGGGGAGCAAACAGG